Molecule: ribosomal RNA, 477 nt
Filed under: uncultured Planctomycetaceae bacterium
Lineage: Bacteria; Pseudomonadati; Planctomycetota; Planctomycetia; Planctomycetales; Planctomycetaceae
Description: bacterial SSU rRNA
Rfam family: Bacterial small subunit ribosomal RNA
Source: RNAcentral
AAUGAACGUUGGCGGCAUGGAUUAGGCAUGCAAGUCGAGCGAGAAGAUCAUGUUUGACACUUCGGUUGAUUUCAUGAUUGGAAAGCGGCGCAAGGGUGAGUAACGCGUAGUUAUCUGCCCCAGGGUUGGGAAUAGCCACGGGAAACUGUGGGUAAUGCCCAAUAACAUCUCCGGAUCAAAGGUGUAAUUCCGCCCUGGGAGGGGACUGCGUCCUACUAGUUUGUUGGUGGGGUAAUGGCCUACCAAGACUUCGAUGGGUAGCGGGCGUGAGAGCGUGGCCCGUCACACUGGGACUGAGACACUGCCCAGACACCUACGGGUGGCUGCAGUCGAGAAUCUUCGGCAAUGGGCGAAAGCCUGACCGAGCAAUGCCGCGUGCGGGAUGAAGGCCUUCGGGUUGUAAACCGCAAAAGUGAGUAGGAAGGGCCCGUGAAGAGCGGGUCUUGACCGAUCCACAGUAAGGACGGGCUAAGUUCG